Molecule: ribosomal RNA, 467 nt
Filed under: uncultured bacterium
Lineage: Bacteria
Description: partial 16S ribosomal RNA
Rfam family: Bacterial small subunit ribosomal RNA
Source: RNAcentral
GACGAACGCUGGCGGCGUGCUUAACACAUGCAAGUCGAACGGAAAGGCCCCUUUCGGGGGGUACUCGAGAGGCGAACGGGUGUGAAAAACGUGAGUAUCCUGCCCUUUACUCUGGGAUAACUCCUGAAAACUGUGGCUAUAACCGGAUAGAGGCUCCUGCUGCACGUGGGGGGUUGGAAAGUUUCGGCGGUUGGGGAUGGACUCGCGGCUUUUCUCAUUGUUGGUGGGGUAGAGGCUUACCAAGGCUUUGACGGGUAGCCGGCCUGGGAGGGUGACCGGCCACAUUGGGGCUGGGAUACGGCCCAGACUCCUACGGGGGGCAGCAGUGGGGAAUAUUGCACAAUGGGUGGGAGCCUGAUGCCGCAACGCCGUGUGCGGGAUGACGGCCUUCGGGUUGGAAACCGCUUUCGCUCAUGACGAAGCUUUGUGUGACGGUAGUGGGUAAAGAAGCACCGGCUAACUACGUG